Molecule: long non-coding RNA, 202 nt
Filed under: Ananas comosus (pineapple)
Lineage: Eukaryota; Viridiplantae; Streptophyta; Magnoliopsida; Poales; Bromeliaceae
Description: long non-coding RNA (ACOM_LNC009961)
Source: RNAcentral
UAUCCGAUACGUAUCGGAUAAGGAUACGCAUCCGAUACACGCCCGAUACGUAUUGGAUACGGGAUUGAAGUAUCUGAAAUUUAAAAAAAUUAAAAAAAAUCGGAUACGGGUCGGAUACGUUGGGAUACGGCGAGACACGUUUUGGGAUACGGAUGGACACGUUUCGGGAUACGGACGGGAUACGUGAGACAUAUUAUUGGGU